This 370-nucleotide ribosomal RNA is filed under the name uncultured bacterium. RNAcentral's name for it is "bacterial SSU rRNA". It matches the Rfam family "Bacterial small subunit ribosomal RNA", at positions 527 to 896 of the family's 1533-position model. The record is from RNAcentral.
GGAGGGUGCAAGCGUUAAUCGGAAUUACUGGGCGUAAAGCGCACGCAGGCGGUUGGAUAAGUUAGAUGUGAAAGCCCCGGGCUCAACCUGGGAAUUGCAUUUAAAACUGUCCAGCUAGAGUCUUGUAGAGGGGGGUAGGAUUCCAGGUGUAGCGGUGAAAUGCGUAGAGAUCUGGAGGAAUACCGGUGGCGAAGGCGGCCCCCUGGACAAAGACUGACGCUCAGGUGCGAAAGCGUGGGGAGCAAACAGGAUUAGAUACCCUGGUAGUCCACGCCGUAAACGAUGUCGAUUUGGAGGCUGUGUCCUUGAGACGUGGCUUCCGGAGCUAACGCGUUAAAUCGACCGCCUGGGGAGUACGGCCGCAAGGUUA